CGAUGAUGAUGAUGAAGAAGAAGAUAAGCAUGGUGCUGGGUCCUCGGGCAGAGGUAGUAUUGACGUCAACAAAAAGAAUAAUGGGAAGGAGAAGGAGAAGAAGCAGAGAAGUGGAUAUGGGUGUGAAGGAAAUUUCGCUAAAGCAAAGGAGGUGGUCCUCCUUCAGUUUACGAUGGUCAAGAAAUAUCUAAAGCACCGCAGGGCAAACUCCAAUAAGAGGCUUUCUCCUUCUUCUUCUUCUUCUGCGAAUGCUACUACGAGAACAGGUAAGAGGGUUUUUGGUAGUUGCUUUUGUAUGAAGCAACCUUGUACUUUGGAAUCUCCUGCUGAGUCUUGCACAAGUGAUCCUAAUGAUCCUAAUUUCACUCUUGAGAUGUUGAGGACUUUGAUUGAGAAGAAUGAUUUCUACUCCAAAGAAUGUAAUCCCCAUUUAGAUGCUACUCCUUUUUCCUCUGCUAAUAAAAAUUAUGGGUGAAAGUUGAAGGGCUUUUGCUGAUUUGAUUUGAAUAUCUUGAUAAAGCUUCAGAGAGAUUGCGGGAAUUAAGAUAAACUCAUAUGGGUUGACGAAUUUUAUGAUAUUAGAAAGCUUUCCUGGCCUUGCUCUCAGUAGAUUGGCAUGCUUUAUAUUGGGUUUUAUCUUCUUUGGCCAUUCAUUCAUUCAUUGAUGUUCUGUGUGAGGAGGACCGAGAGUGAUCAUGUAUGUUUAUUGGUUUCGUUUACUCUGAGGCUAACCCAUGAACAAAUUGUAGAGCGUCAGCCUCGUCUUCUCAACAAUUGUUCACUUUGGAUGGGAAAUUGGAAGCAACCUUAUGAUCAAGGUCUGUGACACGUUUAGCUUUGGGAGUUUCCUCAUUGUUCUUUGAAGAACUAUAUGCGGCUUGUUUUGGACAUAUAGAAUUCAAUUGUAAUACCAGAGGAAAAUUUUGGAUACAAGUAUAUUCUGACUAGUGGAACUUACAAGGAUACAUUCAUUAUAAGAGAAAAUUCAAGUGUACAAUGGUCCACUGUUGGUGUGGGAUAUUUUGGUGAUACCUUUGCAAUACUUCGAAUUGUAUAGAAUUUUAUUUUGUCCAUGAAUCUUGUUUCUUUUGUAUAUGAGAUGUGUCCUGAUUCGUGGGCUGUGUUAUUGAUCUUUUUGAAUACAUUGACUGAAUUAAGCAGGUUGUAUGUUAAUUUUCUUUGUUCUUGACAUGGCAGUCCCUGAUAGAUCAAUGCCCUACGGGUAGGUGUAUGAAUGAACAUAUAAUAGAUGAAAUGCAAAUGCAAC
Molecule: unclassified non-coding RNA, 1267 nt
Filed under: Hevea brasiliensis (rubber tree)
Lineage: Eukaryota; Viridiplantae; Streptophyta; Magnoliopsida; Malpighiales; Euphorbiaceae
Source: RNAcentral